CGAAAGCCUGACGGAGCAACGCCGCGUGGGGGAAGAAGGUUCUUGGAUUGUAAACCCCUUUUCUCAGGGAAGAAGUUCUGACGGUACCUGAGGAAUCAGCCUCGGCUAACUCCGUGCCAGCAGCCGCGGUAAUACGGAGGAGGCAAGCGUUAUCCGGAAUCAUUGGGCGUAAAGCGUUCGUAGGCGGCUGUUCAAGUCUGCUGUCAAAGACCGGAGCUCAACUCCGGGCAGGCAGUGGAAACUGGGGAGCUAGAGGGCGGCAGGGGCAGAAGGAAUUCCCGGUGUAGCGGUGAAAUGCGUAGAUAUCGGGAAGAACACCAGAGGCGAAAGCGUUCUGCUGGGCCGCGCCUGACCCUGAGGGACGAAAGCCAGGGGAGCG
RNAcentral lists this ribosomal RNA (379 nucleotides) under uncultured cyanobacterium. Its description in RNAcentral is "bacterial SSU rRNA". It matches the Rfam family "Bacterial small subunit ribosomal RNA", at positions 376 to 770 of the family's 1533-position model. Lineage: Bacteria; Bacillati; Cyanobacteriota. The record is from RNAcentral.